This is a long non-coding RNA of Nicotiana tabacum (common tobacco), 2561 nucleotides long. RefSeq lists it as uncharacterized. NCBI's taxonomy places the organism in Eukaryota, Viridiplantae, Streptophyta, Magnoliopsida, Solanales, Solanaceae. The record is from RefSeq and is a predicted model, not a curated record.
UCUGCAUUUGCAGAUAACCGACGAUCGACUCACAUUUUCCGGCUACUUUAUCUUCAGAGUUUAAAUGGUUGAUCAACGUCUUCUCAAGAGCUGUGUCAUUUAAUUUUUACUUCAUUUUUCGCAUUCAUUAGGGGAGAGUGUGAAUAUUUCUACAGCACAAUAGAAGGAGACUAUCUAGUUAGGAGUUAGACUAGGAAUAUCAUUGGUCAUCUAUUGAUGCAGGCCUUUACCUUCUAGUGGGUUGCAUGAGGUUGAAAAUCCAGUUAAGAGGUUGCUUAUAGCUGUAUCAAAUUAUGAUCCCGAGUUGCAAGUUGGAACAGGCAAGUGACUGCUGCUUAUGUUUAUUCUCUCUAGGAAUGGAGUCACCCUGUGCGUAUUUCUAUUACCGCUUCUACAGAAUUCCCUCCUUUUGUUUUUUAAGAUAUGGUGUAGGUAUGCAUUGCUUCUUACUAAUGUUUCUUGUUAUGUUAGUUUCUGCCAUAACGGCCUUUCCAGUUUGGAUCACAUUGAGGCGUUUGUCAUUCUUAGAUGAAUUACUUUUGAGUCAAAGUAAUAGUUCUCAAAAAGACUCUCAAAAUUACCAAAAAGGGAAGAAUUGUCCCUUUUAGACCACUUGCUUUGAGACCUUUUUCACUUGAGAUACUGUCUGCCAACAUGGGAGAGGAGGUGAAGGGACACCUUUUGUCAAAAUACUGCAGUAGGAAUCUAUGUUAUUAUACAACAAAGUAUCUGAUGUUUAAGUAUCUCAUGUAAAUACGGCUGGAGCCUCCUUGUGGUUUUGAAAACAAUGUGUUUCCCCAUAACUCUCUGAGUAUUCUGUUUUCCUCUAAAACCUUGAUUUAAAUGUCCAAAAUAUCCUCCAUUUCUAUGUCAAAAGAUUCUAUAUAAUUGAUUGAACAUUAAGCAACUUAAUCUAAAAGUAGUAUAACCAUAAGGUUCUUAGAUAUAUUUACUUAAAUUAAGUACUAUUAAGUUAUCUAGUGUAAUUGUAUUACUCCUUUUGUUUCAAAAAGGAUGCCACUGUUGCCAAUAGUCUGUUUGGAAAAGAACGAAACCUUCUAAAUUUGGAAAUAAUUUAACUUGAAUUUCUCAUUUUACCAUUCAUGACAAGCUUUUACUUGGGAAGAAGAAGAAUUAGAUUUUCUUUUUACAUACAUUUUUAGUGGGAAAGGUGUGCAACCAGUGACGAAGCCCAGGAAUUUUCUCAAGAGUAUUCAAACUUGAAAGAAGUGAAAAUUCUCCGAUGAAGAGUGUUCAAUAUAUGUUAUAUACCUUUAAAACCUAGUAUUUUACCUAUAUACGCAGUGUAAUUUUCUAACGAAGCCUUUAAGACAUGUGGCUUCGCCCUAUGUGCAACACUUAUGUCAGGAGACUAUAUGGAAACAGAAGGGAGCUCUUAGCUUAUUUCUACACCAUAUGUAGGUAAUACGCAAGUUCCAAAACCGCAGAGAGUUCAUGCGCUUUUAUUCUUAUUCAGAACAAUGAACUAAAGUCUACUUACUAUGGAAACUUAUUUACUCGAGAUAUCAAUGUUUGAAUCUGCAAUGAAGUAGAAAUUUGUUUCAAUUCUGGUAGGAAGUAUGUUUAACAGUCAAGACGAAACAAAUCAUGCACAUCUCUAUCGUCCAAGAGAAAGGUCUUAUCUAACACAGAUGAUAUCAGUGACUUCUCAAAAAAUCAGAGGAGCUGAGAUUAGACCUUUCAACAAUUAUUCAGUCGCAUGCUAGUUAUAAAAGCUUGAGGAGUACACUAAGGAUGGAAUCUUUGGAUAUGCCACAAAGAGAAGUAUAUUUUGUUGAAAAAAUCUAUAUAUAGUGUGAUUGAAUCAACAUAGAAAUUUGCCACAAAUAGAAUAAGCAGGUGGUUUUACUUCAUUUUCUUUCCUUUUCUUUUUAUCUUUUUUUUUUUUUUGCGGAUGCUGAAAUGUUCCAAAUGAUAAAAAAGAUAGAUGCAGGAGAAGUAUCUUCUCAUCUUAUAUUUAGAUAAGAGACCUUAAAUAAUGCAAGAUUAGUGGUCACUGGUCACUUAAUAUUCUGGAUAUGUUUUCUUCUUUUUUGAGUCAAAUGUGGGCGCUUGCCUGUGCAUAGAUGUGAAUUAGAACAAUUGUCUGUCUAAGGAGAGCGUUUAUAUAACAGUAAUAUGCUCAGCACUUGCAUACUUUUGAUCAAAAUGGAAUUUUCUUGCCUUAUUCUCUUUGCUUUUUUAAGGUCUGAUAAGCAAAUGGCUUGUAAAAGGGGAAUUUCAAAGAGGAAAUUGAGACAUGCAGAAUCAGUAUGUCUUUUUGAGGAAUGUUUUCUAGCUUUCUAGUGGUAUAUUAUUGGAUUCUGGUAUUCAGUGGUUAGAAAUAAAAGAUAACUUCCUAAAAGAUGUCAAAAUUAUUGAAGUUAUUGCUUUCUUUAAUGACCUUAUCCUGGUUUGUGAUAUUUAUAUUGCAAUAUGUGCAGGUUGGUGGUCAUAAAACAUAAGAUCUUUCACUGGUGCCUAGUUCGGGUGAAAUUAAAAAAUAGCCAGAUUUACAAGUGGUAGUUGAAAAAUAGCCACAGUUUCAAAAGUAAUCGAAA